RNAcentral lists this ribosomal RNA (254 nucleotides) under uncultured bacterium. RNAcentral describes it as "partial 16S ribosomal RNA". It matches the Rfam family "Bacterial small subunit ribosomal RNA", at positions 524 to 776 of the family's 1533-position model. The record is from RNAcentral.
GACGUAGGGCGCGAGCGUUGUCCGGAUUCAUUGGGCGUAAAGAGCUCGUAGGCGGCUUGGCAAGUCGGGUGUGAAAACUUCAGGCUCAACCUGGAGCGGCCACUCGAUACUGCCAUGGCUUGAGUCCGGUAGGGGACCACGGAAUUCCUGGUGUAGCGGUGAAAUGCGCAGAUAUCAGGAGGAACACCGGUGGCGAAGGCGGUGGUCUGGGCCGGAACUGACGCUGAGGAGCGAAAGCGUGGGGAGCGAACAGG